UCUCUUUGGCCGCCCUGUCAUGCC
RNAcentral lists this non-coding RNA (24 nucleotides) under Arabidopsis thaliana (thale cress). Lineage: Eukaryota; Viridiplantae; Streptophyta; Magnoliopsida; Brassicales; Brassicaceae. The record is from RNAcentral.